This is a non-coding RNA of Podarcis lilfordi (Lilford's wall lizard), 295 nucleotides long. The record is from the annotation of a GenBank genome assembly. NCBI's taxonomy places the organism in Eukaryota, Metazoa, Chordata, Lepidosauria, Squamata, Lacertidae.
GGAAAGGAUUUGCUGGGAUAAUUAAUAACUAGGAUACAAAGGAAGGGAGGAGGAGGAGGUCUAAGAAAGAAGGUAAUGACAGUUAAGGGUCUGAAAAUAAUGAACUUGUUUUUAAAUGUCUUUUUUUUUAAAAAACAACCUUGGGAUUUUUGUAAUUUUGUCACUUUUUUGUUCUUUAUUUGAAAUUUUCUUUUUUCUUUAUCCUGUUCAUUAUCUUUUACUUUUUGUAUUUUUUCUUUUUUUUUGUCAUUACUCUCUUCUUUUUGUAAUAUUUUGAAAACUUCAAUAAAUAUCU